GACGAACGCUGGCGGCGUGCCUAAUACAUGCAAGUUGAGCGCUGAAGGUUGGUACUUGUACGAACUGGAUGAGCAGCGCACGGGUGAAUAACGCGUGGGGAAUCUGCCUUUGAGCGGGGGACAACAUUUGGAAACGAAUGCUAAUACCGCAUAACAACUUUAAACACAAGUUUUAAGUUUGAAAGAUGCAAUUGCAUCACUCAAAGAUGAUCCCGCGUUGUAUUAGCUAGUUGGUGAGGUAAAGGCUCACCAAGGCGAUGAUACAUAGCCGACCUGUGAGGGUGAUCGGCCACAUUGAGACUGAGACACGGCCCAAACUCCUACGGGAGGCAGCAGUAGGGAAGCUUCGGCAAUGGACGAAAGUCUGACCGAGCAACGCCGCGUGAGUGAAGAAGGUUUUCGGAUCGUAAAACUCUGUUGGUAGAGAAGAACGUUGGUGAGAGUGGAAAGCUCAUCAAGUGACGGUAACUACCCAGAAAGGGACGGCUAACUACGUG
Molecule: ribosomal RNA, 497 nt
Filed under: uncultured bacterium
Lineage: Bacteria
Description: partial 16S ribosomal RNA
Rfam family: Bacterial small subunit ribosomal RNA
Source: RNAcentral